Long non-coding RNA from Pocillopora damicornis (cauliflower coral), 1907 nucleotides. The record is from RefSeq and is a predicted model, not a curated record. NCBI's taxonomy places the organism in Eukaryota, Metazoa, Cnidaria, Anthozoa, Scleractinia, Pocilloporidae.
AUUCCAGGGGAACAACUUUCCAAACAUGAGUCGGAAAGCUUCUUUUCUUCGGAAAAAUUGAACAAUUUUCACUGUUCCUUUUCUGUUUUAAAUUUUGCUUUUUUCGAAGCUAGUUUUGUAGCCUCGAUGAGCAAAUUAGCGUGUCUGUUUCAAGUUAACUCGGUCCAACAGUUUACAGCAAGUUUGCGGGAGACCUCUCCACAGACAAUGAUUUAAUUUUGUUUAUGCCAUUAAAACGGUCACACAACUAGCAAGCAAUGCUGUUUUACCACGGUUUCUUGUUAUUUGAGGUUCAUUGAACAUGAGAGGAAAUUAUUGACGAGCGACCGUACUGGCAGUAAAAUCAAUGUUAUGGACGAUUGAUUAGUCGGUUCGAGAUUAUGACAAGCGUGAAUCUGUCCAGAAUAUUUGAUUUGUGGAAUUGCAACCAUGAAUUACAUCAUAACAUAUCUUUUGAUUUUUUCUGAAAUAUUUUUCAAGUUUGCCUUUCUACUCCGCCUGCUAUAUUACCCAUUGUUCGGUACCCGUUUUCCACCUUAAAUAACCUACUAAACUAAAGAUGUCAACCUUUUUUGUGAAUGGGAAACGCGACAGUAUCCCAAACUGUGGUCCUUAUGGGAAAUAAUAAUCAUUUCAAUUAAUUGAACUCCAUCCGUUAGCUAUAAACUAUUAAACUGUUUCCUUUAGCUUAGCGUUCAGCUUUCGUGCAAGUUGAAAUCGUAUUUAUGAUUUCUCCAGGACUUCAUCGCUAACACUUAUCAAUAAAAUACGUGUUUGAGCACAUAAAUUAUUUACUCUUCAAAACCGUGAAUUCCAGUUUUGUCUUUUCCUCUACAUCGAUCUAGGAGAAGUAGUAUGUGAAUAUCUCGGUUUCUUUGCUCGGUUGUGCAAAACGGGAGUGUAGAGAAGUCGUCAAGCUUAUACUGGAGUAACUUAUCUUUUCCUCCACAGUUGGAAGGUUCGUCGGCGCGCCAAAAUCAUGAGGGCAUAUGCCGUGAUCGUGUGCCUACUCCUUAUUCUGUACCAAGUUAGUGCGGCUCCAAGGCCAUGUAGAAAUAGACGAGAUGUAAGUGACAAAAAGACUGACGAUAAAACAGAAAAUAAGGAGAAUGAUCAUGAAAGUUCAGGGAAGAGUGAAGCAAAAGGAAGUCAAAAGGACAAAAAACAGUAUGUGCCAUAUUAUCCAGCCGCUCCCGCUGUUCCAGCAUAUAACAUGGGAGAUGUCAUUUGUGAGGACAGUAGACCUGUGCAAGUUGUCCAAAUAAGGGAUUUAAGUAUUGUGAAUGGAGUCAUCAAGUCGAGCAAUAUCUCAUAGAUCCUGGAUGGCAGACCACAAGUAGAAAGAAAUUUGGAUAUUGGAUAGUUUUUGUACAAAACACAUUUUUGAACGUUUGCAGCACGUGUUUGUGGUUUGCGAUUCAGUUCUUUACGAAUUUUUAUUCGCGUCCUGACAUGGACUACAGAAAUGGAGAAAAUUUAUUUCUCAAACCACUAAAAAACUCGACAAUGAGAGGUUACACCGAAUGGAUGAGACUAGCAUGGACAUAUCGACAGUUUUAAUGUGGCUAUUCAAGGAGAUUUGAGGAUCCGCGAGAGACAGAGAAACUGUUAAAUCCGUCGAGUAUGAUCGACUUGCCUUAUUGUAAAGAAAAAGAAUAUCGAAAAGGGCUCUUUCCAAACGACUUUUUGUGAAGUUUAAGCUUUUGAAAGGGAGAGUUAUUCCACAAAUGAUGUCUUCAUUCAGUAAGGCGUUAUGUACAUAUCUUGUCGAGACAUUUGCAGCCGUCGAUGGUAGAAUUACACUAGGUAUACACGAAAUUCACGACUGCACGACAAGAUGGUAUUGCAGUAGCUUAGCUUGUUUGUAAAAAGGAAACAAAUCACAAAUUACAAACCAAAUUGUUAUA